Molecule: ribosomal RNA, 656 nt
Filed under: uncultured bacterium
Lineage: Bacteria
Description: bacterial SSU rRNA
Rfam family: Bacterial small subunit ribosomal RNA
Source: RNAcentral
UGGGGAUGCGUUCCAUUAGGUUGUUGGCGGGGUAACGGCCCACCAAGCCUUCGAUGGAUAGGGGUUCUGAGAGGAAGGUCCCCCACAUUGGAACUGAGACACGGUCCAAACUCCUACGGGAGGCAGCAGUGAGGAAUAUUGGUCAAUGGACGAGAGUCUGAACCAGCCAAGUAGCGUGAAGGAUGACUGCCCUAUGGGUUGUAAACUUCUUUUAUACGGGAAUAAAGUGAGGCACGCGUGCCUUUUUGUAUGUACCGUAUGAAUAAGGAUCGGCUAACUCCGUGCCAGCAGCCGCGGUAAUACGGAGGAUCCGAGCGUUAUCCGGAUUUAUUGGGUUUAAAGGGAGCGUAGGCGGACGCUUAAGUCAGUUGUGAAAGUUUGCGGCUCAACCGUAAAAUUGCAGUUGAUACUGGGUGUCUUGAGUACAGUAGAGGCAGGCGGAAUUCGUGGUGUAGCGGUGAAAUGCUUAGAUAUCACGAAGAACUCCGAUUGCGAAGGCAGCUUGCUGGACUGUAACUGACGCUGAUGCUCGAAAGUGUGGGUAUCAAACAGGAUUAGAUACCCUGGUAGUCCACACAGUAAACGAUGAAUACUCGCUGUUUGCGAUAUACGGUAAGCGGCCAAGCGAAAGCGUUAAGUAUUCCACCUGGGGAGUA